GUAUUACCAUGAGUUCCUUGCAAGUCACUUCACGAGGCACUAUCCUAAGGGCUAUUGUGAAAUGUUUGGGGGAACUCUUGGUGUUAC
Molecule: microRNA precursor, 87 nt
Filed under: Brachypodium distachyon (stiff brome)
Lineage: Eukaryota; Viridiplantae; Streptophyta; Magnoliopsida; Poales; Poaceae
Description: mir-395 microRNA precursor family
Rfam family: mir-395 microRNA precursor family
About the family: mir-395 was identified in both Arabidopsis thaliana and Oryza sativa computationally and was later experimentally verified. mir-395 is thought to target mRNAs coding for ATP sulphurylases. The mature sequence is excised from the 3' arm of the hairpin.
Source: Rfam by way of RNAcentral